This 460-nucleotide ribosomal RNA is filed under the name uncultured bacterium. Its description in RNAcentral is "partial 16S ribosomal RNA". It matches the Rfam family "Bacterial small subunit ribosomal RNA", at positions 30 to 507 of the family's 1533-position model. The record is from RNAcentral.
CGACCGCUGGCGGCGUGCUUAACACAUGCAAGUCGCGCGGUAAGGCCUUUCGGGGUCCACGAGCGGCGAACGGGUGAGUAACACGUGGGUGAUCUGCCCUGCACUUCGGGAUAAGCCUGGGAAACUGGGUCUAAUACCGGAUAUGACCUCCUAUCGCAUGGUGGGUGGUGGAAAGAUUUAUCGGUGCAGGAUGGGCCCGCGGCCUAUCAGCUUGUUGGUGGGGUAAUGGCCUACCAAGGCGACGACGGGUAGCCGACCUGAGAGGGUGACCGGCCACACUGGGACUGAGACACGGCCCAGACUCCUACGGGAGGCAGCAGUGGGGAAUAUUGCACAAUGGGCGAAAGCCUGAUGCAGCGACGCCGCGUGAGGGAUGACGGCCUUCGGGUUGUAAACCUCUUUCAGCAGGGACGAAGCGCAAGUGACGGUACCUGCAGAAGAAGCACCGGCUAACUACGUG